CUACCUGGUGGAACUCGACUUCGGGAAGAAACGCUUCGUACAUUCUGCAUUCCAGGUCUGUUACCUGGUGAAACUCGACUUCCAGGAUGAGUACUCCGUGGUUGUUGCGCUCCAGGUCUGCUAUCUGGUGAAUUUCAACUCUCGGAGGACAAGGAAGACGCGGAGGACAAGGUGGACGAGGAGAACAAGGAUUUCUGCACAACAUAACCCGAGGUGGUUGGCAGUGGUCGUUGGAGAUGGUUGGUGGUGGAUGGAGGUGGUCGAGCUGGACGAGGAGGAGGACGAGGAAGUCGAGGAGAACAAUGUGGACGAGAAGGACGAGGAUUUGUGCUCAUUAAGAGCUGUACUCCACACAAUACAAGAAAUACUGGACAAAGGUGAUGAGAUGAUAGUAGUAUCACAAUGGACCAGUAUGCUGGAAGUUGUGAGGUCUCGUCUCAAAACCCUAAAUGGAGCAACUUAUGAUACCCUGUCUGGAAAAAUUCCCGUAAAAAAUCGGUAGCGCAUAGUGGAGUCGUUCAACACAAUAGACUCAGCACCGCAAAUUCUAUUACUAUCGCUUACUGCAGGCGGAGUAAGCUUAAAUUUGGUUGGCGGCAAUCACUUACUUUUGCCUGAUAUCCGUUGGGAUCCGUAAUUGGAAGCGCAAGCACAGGAUCGAAUUUACAGAGUUGGCCAAACUAAAAGCGUUUACAUUUACAAGAUUAGAGCACUGCAAAACAGAAAGCUAGAAAUAGCGAACGGAGGUUUGACAGGAGCAGGUACUGCAGGUGCCUCCAAGUUAUUGAUGAAUGAUCUCAAAUGUUUGUUCAGCUUGUGAAACUUUUAUUUUGCCAAACGCCUGCACUUUCUGACCUAACUUACGUAAUUUUACAAGAAGUCGAUCGACCCGUUACUUUUCGAUGUAUCUAUUCGCUAAAAACCAAAGUGUUUUGGUACGACUGAAGGAAAUACGCCCUAUUUUAUAAUAUAAGAAAUUCUACAUUAAUCUAUUUUAUAAGUGGAUAUAUUUAUGGAUGAAUUAGUUAUGAGUGUAUUCGAGAAAACUUUUAACAUACGUUAUUGUUUAAAAUCAUUCUUAAGCCUAGUUUUUUGAAGCAGUAAUUAAUUAUUGCAUUAUUACUAAG
This is an RNA transcript of Neodiprion virginianus, 1127 nucleotides long. RefSeq lists it as uncharacterized. Lineage: Eukaryota; Metazoa; Arthropoda; Insecta; Hymenoptera; Diprionidae. The transcript is spliced from 5 exons. The record is from RefSeq and is a predicted model, not a curated record.